ACGCUCGACACCUACGGGAGGCAGCAGUGGGGAAUAUUGGGCAAUGGGCGCAAGCCUGACCCAGCAACGCCGCGUGAAGGAAGAAGGCUUUCGGGUUGUAAACUUCUUUUGUCAGGGAACAGUAGAAGAGGGUACCUGACGAAUAAGCCACGGCUAACUACGUGCUAGCAGCCGCGGUAAUCUGAGCGGGCUGGCAAGGC
Molecule: ribosomal RNA, 200 nt
Filed under: uncultured bacterium
Lineage: Bacteria
Description: partial 16S ribosomal RNA
Rfam family: Bacterial small subunit ribosomal RNA
Source: RNAcentral